RNAcentral lists this ribosomal RNA (257 nucleotides) under uncultured bacterium. Its description in RNAcentral is "partial 16S ribosomal RNA". It matches the Rfam family "Bacterial small subunit ribosomal RNA", at positions 524 to 778 of the family's 1533-position model. The record is from RNAcentral.
UACAGAGGGGGGCAAGCGUUGUUCGGAAUUACUGGGCGUAAAGGGCGCGUAGGCGGCCUUCUAAGUCGAACGUGAAAUCCCCGGGCUCAACCCGGGAACUGCGUCCGAUACUGGAAGGCUUGAAUCCGGGAGAGGGAUGUGGAAUUCCAGGUGUAGCGGUGAAAUGCGUAGAUAUCUGGAGGAACACCGGGUGGCGAAGGCGACAUCCUGGACCGGUAUUGACGCUGAGGCGCGAAAGCCAGGGGAGCAAAGCGGGG